This is a long non-coding RNA of Mangifera indica (mango), 396 nucleotides long. RefSeq lists it as uncharacterized. The transcript has 2 exons. The record is from RefSeq and is a predicted model, not a curated record. Lineage: Eukaryota; Viridiplantae; Streptophyta; Magnoliopsida; Sapindales; Anacardiaceae.
CAGAACAGUGAAGCAAUGAUUUCAACUGACAUGCCUGCUGGUCCUUCAGAACUUUUGUCAUUGCGGACAAAUAUGCUAGUCAUGUUCAUAUAGCUGUAGAUUUGUUUUCUCAGAGAUGCAACCAUGGCGGAAGUGGAAGGCUUGGAAGCCCGCAAGAGAUGGUAACUCUUAGAUUACAAGACAUUGAAGCCAGGCGAGUUGCCAACAUAACUUAGGCUCCUUUUGUUUGUAUUUGUUUUCUGAUUGUUUUGAAAGCAGCCUCUCAAGUUUUCUCACCUGUAUGCAAAAUUUGUAUUAUUGCUAUUAGUGUUGGAAUUUUGUAUGUUGUAACAUGAUAUAGAUCUCAAAAUAUCAAUGCCUGAUCAAUAAAAUCUUUUAGAGUCGAGUUUAUUUUUA